Molecule: long non-coding RNA, 1594 nt
Organism: Aegilops tauschii subsp. strangulata
Lineage: Eukaryota; Viridiplantae; Streptophyta; Magnoliopsida; Poales; Poaceae
Source: RefSeq, a predicted model, not a curated record
CCUCGGACACGGACGUCCUUGUGCGCGCCGGCGCCGACGUGGGUAUGAGGACCCAACAGUGGCCGGGUACUGCUUUCCAAUGCAGAGGGUGGUUGGCGGCUUACCUGAAGGACGGGAGCGGAGUGGCCGGAGCUGCGUGCUGCAACGUCGUCGACGUCGCGUCGACAUGCGAUGGGCGGUGAGGAAGAAGGUCCCCCGUGCCCUCCUCCACAUCGAUGCUCGAGCCGUCGGGUUGUCCAGUGGAGCCAGCACUGCUUCCGUCGCUGGUGAUCGAAUCAGAUCGCAUAGGAUCAGAGGUGGUGUGGGCGGAGAGGGGAGUGAAGCAAAGUUUGAAUUGACCGGUGUCUAGGGUUUUCCGGGUGGGGAUUUUUAUGGGGCACAGGCUAGGCCAAGCCGACGUGGCGGAUGCGCUUGGGCACGCCAGAGCCUCCCCAUAUUCACUCUAUGUUUGAGCUGGAUAGGAGGGGCGCCGGAUAGGCCGGACGUUUGAGGCCGGUUUAAGGCAUCUGGUUGGAUCGUUUUUUGCGACCGGUCAAUGAUCAGGGUGUUCGCCAGACGUUUGGGGCGGUUUAUGGUGCGCGGGUGUAGAUGCUCUAACCCUUGGCCUGCCGUGGCGGCGCUGCAGGCUCGGCGGAGUUGUCACGUAGUAGUAGUGGAGUAGUAGCGUAGGACUAUUAUAUGCACACAAAUAAAGAAUUAAAGAAAGAAACAAAUAAGAAACCAACCAGCAGGUCUGAGCCAAUGGGGACGGAGCACACGGAUCGCGUGCUUCCCUUGAGCAGUUGCGGGCCAUCGGAUCUUGGGAGGAAUGAUCAAACGGGUGGUGGCCGGACGCGGUGUCAGUGGCUAGAUCUGGGGUGGCCGUCAGGCCCUUUUUACAGAGAGCCCGCCGCCACGAAGAAACAGGGAAAUAGUCCGAGGAUGACGGCGUCAGGCGUUUUUACAGAGUAGGACUGGGAGUGAGCUGAGCCUCCUCCGUCAAAAAAAAAAAAAAAAAAAAAAGCUGUAGACGGUAGGUACGGUAAUUACGGCGGGUCUUUCCGUUAUUUUGUCCCCGUGGCAGACUUCCUCUCCCCUCACCAAAGGGCUCUCCUUUUUUGCAUCUCAAGAAGAAGACGCAACCUCCAUGGCCUCGGUUCCCAUGGCCAUGUUCAUCGCCUUCUUGGUCCGAGCGACCGGCCUUGUCAGGCCAUGUUCAUGGCCGUGGUGGCCGUGGCCUAUCUGGUGUCACAGCUUGGCUCCUUUGGGGCCGAAAAGAAAACAAGGCAGUCGUUCGUUGCCGGAGCCACGCGUGCGGUUGCUGUCUUGGCUCCAGACCUGUCCUUGGAGGUCGUCCCUGGAUCGCUGGCCAAGCUCCAUCCUGAAGGUUUUUUUUGAACUAACUAAAACCACGACGAGUAAUUUGGAACGGAGGGAGUAACUGGGUAGGAUCUCUCCUGGUGGCCUUUCAUUCCAAACUAGAGAGAAGAGAAAAGAAAAAGAGACGUGCUACUUGCCAAAAGAAACCAAAGACUUUUUCAGUUUGGAGGGAGUUGUGGUUGUUUUUAUCUAAAUUUAUUUAUAUAUAUUAAGUGACUCAUUCUCAUUCAAUUUA